RNAcentral lists this ribosomal RNA (429 nucleotides) under Bacteroidota bacterium. Its description in RNAcentral is "Bacteroidetes bacterium partial 16S ribosomal RNA". It matches the Rfam family "Bacterial small subunit ribosomal RNA", at positions 355 to 776 of the family's 1533-position model. Lineage: Bacteria; Pseudomonadati; Bacteroidota. The record is from RNAcentral.
UAGGGAAUCUUCCGCAAUGGACGCAAGUCUGACGGAGCAACGCCGCGUGAGUGAAGAAGGAUUUCGGUUCGUAAAACUCUGUUGUUAGAGAAGAACAGCGCAUAGAGUAACUGUUAUGCGUGUGACGGUAUCUAACCAGAAAGCCACGGCUAACUACGUGCCAGCAGCCGCGGUAAUACGUAGGUGGCAAGCGUUGUCCGGAUUUAUUGGGCGUAAAGCGAGCGCAGGCGGUCAAUUAAGUCUGAUGUGAAAGCCCCCGGCUCAACCGGGGAGGGUCAUUGGAAACUGGUUGACUUGAGUGCAGAAGAGGAGAGUGGAAUUCCAUGUGUAGCGGUGAAAUGCGUAGAUAUAUGGAGGAACACCGGUGGCGAAAGCGGCUCUCUGGUCUGUAACUGACGCUGAUGUGCGAAAGCGUGGGGAUCAAACAGG